Molecule: ribosomal RNA, 793 nt
Filed under: Faecalibacterium prausnitzii
Lineage: Bacteria; Bacillati; Bacillota; Clostridia; Eubacteriales; Oscillospiraceae
Description: bacterial SSU rRNA
Rfam family: Bacterial small subunit ribosomal RNA
Source: RNAcentral
AUCGCCGCCUCCAUGCAGUCGAACGAGCGAGAGAGAGCUUGCUUUCUCGAGCGAGUGGCGAACGGGUGAGUAACGCGUGAGGAACCUGCCUCAAAGAGGGGGACAACAGUUGGAAACGACUGCUAAUACCGCAUAAGCCCACGACCCGGCAUCGGGUUGAGGGAAAAGGAGCAAUCCGCUUUGAGAUGGCCUCGCGUCCGAUUAGCUGGUUGGUGAGGUAACGGCCCACCAAGGCGACGAUCGGUAGCCGGACUGAGAGGUUGAACGGCCACAUUGGGACUGAGACACGGCCCAGACUCCUACGGGAGGCAGCAGUGGGGAAUAUUGCACAAUGGGGGAAACCCUGAUGCAGCGACGCCGCGUGGAGGAAGAAGGUCUUCGGAUUGUAAACUCCUGUUGUUGAGGAAGAUAAUGACGGUACUCAACAAGGAAGUGACGGCUAACUACGUGCCAGCAGCCGCGGUAAAACGUAGGUCACAAGCGUUGUCCGGAAUUACUGGGUGUAAAGGGAGCGCAGGCGGGAAGACAAGUUGGAAGUGAAAUCUAUGGGCUCAACCCAUAAACUGCUUUCAAAACUGUUUUUCUUGAGUAGUGCAGAGGUAGGCGGAAUUCCCGGUGUAGCGGUGGAAUGCGUAGAUAUCGGGAGGAACACCAGUGGCGAAGGCGGCCUACUGGGCACCAACUGACGCUGAGGCUCGAAAGUGUGGGUAGCAAACAGGAUUAGAUACCCUGGUAGUCCACACCGUAAACGAUGAUUACUAGGUGUUGGAGGAUUGACCCCUUCAGUGCCGCA